RNAcentral lists this ribosomal RNA (497 nucleotides) under uncultured bacterium. Its description in RNAcentral is "partial 16S ribosomal RNA". It matches the Rfam family "Bacterial small subunit ribosomal RNA", at positions 28 to 507 of the family's 1533-position model. The record is from RNAcentral.
GAUGAACGCUGGCGGCGUGCCUAAUACAUGCAAGUCGAGCGAACAGAUGAGGAGCUUGCUCCUCUGACGUUAGCGGCGGACGGGUGAGUAACACGUGGAUAACCUACCUAUAAGACUGGGAUAACUUCGGGAAACCGGAGCUAAUACCGGAUAAUAUAUUGAACCGCAUGGUUCAAUAGUGAAAGACGGUUUUGCUGUCACUUAUAGAUGGAUCCGCGCCGCAUUAGCUAGUUGGUAAGGUAACGGCUUACCAAGGCAACGAUGCGUAGCCGACCUGAGAGGGUGAUCGGCCACACUGGAACUGAGACACGGUCCAGACUCCUACGGGAGGCAGCAGUAGGGAAUCUUCCGCAAAGGGCGAAAGCCUGACGGAGCAACACCGCGUGAGUGAUGAAGGUCUUCGGAUCGUAAAACUCUGUUAUUGGGGAAGAACAAAUGUGUAAGUAACUAUGCACGUCUUGACGGUACCUAAUCAGAAAGCCACGGCUAACUACGUG